AAAUAGGACUAUUUUCGGUGGAUA
Molecule: microRNA, 24 nt
Filed under: Zea mays
Lineage: Eukaryota; Viridiplantae; Streptophyta; Magnoliopsida; Poales; Poaceae
Description: microRNA miR-3160
Source: RNAcentral